This 377-nucleotide ribosomal RNA is filed under the name uncultured bacterium. RNAcentral's name for it is "bacterial SSU rRNA". It matches the Rfam family "Bacterial small subunit ribosomal RNA", at positions 523 to 898 of the family's 1533-position model. The record is from RNAcentral.
AAACGUAGGUGGCGAGCGUUGUCCGGAAUUACUGGGUGUAAAGGGCGCGUAGGCGGGGGAGCAAGUCAGGUGUGAAAUACCACGGCUCAACCGUGGGGGUGCAUCUGAAACUGUUCUUCUUGAGUGCUGGAGAGGAAAGCGGAAUUCCUAGUGUAGCGGUGAAAUGCGUAGAGAUUAGGAGGAACACCAGUGGCGAAGGCGGCUUUCUGGACAGUAACUGACGCUGAGGCGCGAAAGCGUGGGGAGCAAACAGGAUUAGAUACCCUGGUAGUCCACGCCGUAAACGAUGGAUACUAGGUGUAGGAGGUAUCGACCCCUUCUGUGCCGGAGUUAACACAAUAAGUAUCCCACCUGGGGAGUACGGCCGCAAGGUUGAA